GCAAGGGAAAUGCAAAUACAGAGCUGAUUGCGUUCCCUUAAAUGGGAAAGUGUGUUAAAUCUGAUAAGCGCGCUCUGAGUGUCUCCUAAGCGUGGGCUUGCCUCAGCAUUUAGUUUCUAUUCUACAGCAGGUGAGCGAAUGAAUGCUGUUCUGAAACUCUGCACAGUUCUCCUGGAUUCACGGUCACCCCCUAUCUGGGAACUGAAUAUUCACAUCCACCAGCAUGAUGUGUCCUAAGAGGAAACAAGGAGGGGGAUAUUGUGUGUUUUCCUUUACUGGUGCACAAGUUUCAGCCCUCUGGGAAGGGACUAAAGGAAUUGGCUGUGAAGCUUCAAAAGAAAACAGCUGGAAGGAGGAGGACAUGGAAGGUCUGACCUUCCCAACGCUAUGAAGCUGGCUGCCCU
This 404-nucleotide long non-coding RNA is filed under the name Parus major (Great Tit). Its description in RNAcentral is "lncRNA (ENSPMJG00000011630.1)". The record is from RNAcentral. Lineage: Eukaryota; Metazoa; Chordata; Aves; Passeriformes; Paridae.